GAUGAACGCUGGCGGCGUGCCUAAUACAUGCAAGUCGAGCGAACGGACGAGAAGCUUGCUUUUCUGAUGUUAGCGGCGGACGGGCGAGUAACACGUGGAUAACCUACCUAUAAGACUGGGAUAACUUCGGGAAACCGGAGCUAAUACCGGAUAAUAUUUUGAACCGCAUGGUUCAAAAGUGAAAGACGGUCUUGCUGUCACUUAUAGAUGGAUCCGCGCUGCAUUAGCUAGUUGGUAGGGUAACGGCUUACCAAGGCAACGAUGCAUAGCCGACCUGAGAGGGUGAUCGGCCACACUGGAACUGAGACACGGUCCAGACUCCUACGGGAGGCAGCAGUAGGGAAUCUUCCGCAAUGGGCGAAAGCCUGACGGAGCAACGCCGCGUGAGUGAUGAAGGUCUUCGGAUCGUAAAACUCUGUUAUUAGGGAAGAACAUAUGUGUGAGUAACUGUGCACAUCUUGACGGUACCUAAUCAGAAAGCCACGGCUAACUACGUGCCAGCAGCCGCGGUAAUACGUAGGUGGCAAGCGUUAUCCGGAAUUAUUGGGCGUAAAGCGCGCGUAGGCGGUUUUUUAAGUCUGAUGUGAAAGCCCACGGCUCAACCGUGGAGGGUCAUUGGAAACUGGAAAACUUGAGUGCAGAAGAGGAAAGUGGAAUUCCAUGUGUAGCGGUGAAAUGCGCAGAGAUGUGGAGGAACACCAGUGGCGAAGGCGACUUUCUGGUCUGUAACUGACGCUGAUGUGCGAAAGCGUGGGGAUCAAACAGGAUUAGAUACCCUGGUAGUCCACGCCGUAAACGAUGAGUGCUAAGUGUUAGGGGGUUUCCGCCCCUUAGUGCUGCAGCUAACGCAUUAAGCACUCCGCCUGGGGAGUACGACCGCAAGGUUGAAACUCAAAGGAAUUGACGGGGGCCCGCACAAGCGGUGGAGCAUGUGGUUUAAUUCGAAGCAACGCGAAGAACCUUACCAAAUCUUGACAUCCUUUGACAACUCUAGAGAUAGAGCCUUCCCCUUCGGGGGACAAAGUGACAGGUGGUGCAUGGUUGUCGUCAGCUCGUGUCGUGAGAUGUUGGGUUAAGUCCCGCAACGAGCGCAACCCUUAAGCUUAGUUGCCAUCAUUAAGUUGGGCACUCUAAGUUGACUGCCGGUGACAAACCGGAGGAAGGUGGGGAUGACGUCAAAUCAUCAUGCCCCUUAUGGUUUGGGCUACACACGUGCUACAAUGGACAAUACAAAGGGCAGCGAAACCGCGAGGUCAAGCAAAUCCCAUAAAGUUGUUCUCAGUUCGGAUUGUAGUCUGCAACUCGACUACAUGAAGCUGGAAUCGCUAGUAAUCGUAGAUCAGCAUGCUACGGUGAAUACGUUCCCGGGUCU
RNAcentral lists this ribosomal RNA (1372 nucleotides) under uncultured bacterium. Its description in RNAcentral is "bacterial SSU rRNA". It matches the Rfam family "Bacterial small subunit ribosomal RNA", at positions 28 to 1381 of the family's 1533-position model. The record is from RNAcentral.